This 84-nucleotide small RNA is filed under the name Salix viminalis (osier). The record is from RNAcentral. Lineage: Eukaryota; Viridiplantae; Streptophyta; Magnoliopsida; Malpighiales; Salicaceae.
UAUCCACGGCGUGCUCCGGCACCCUGGAGGCCGCGGUCGAGGAUGGUGGUUCAUUGCUUUCUUCAGCCAUGGUGAUAUUGAAGU